CAGCCGCCGCGGUAAUACGUAGGUGGCAAGCGUUGUCCGGAAUUAUUGGGCGUAAAGGGCUCGCAGGCGGUUUCUUAAGUCUGAUGUGAAAGCCCCCGGCUCAACCGGGGAGGGUCAUUGGAAACCGGGAAACUUGAGUGCAGAAGAGGAGAGUGGAAUUCCACGUGUAGCGGUGAAAUGCGUAGAGAUGUGGAGGAACACCAGUGGCGAAGGCGACUCUCUGGUCUGUAACUGACGCUGAGGAGCGAAAGCGUGGGGAGCGAACAGGAUUAGAGACCCCCGUAGUCCCUGUCUCUUAUAC
Molecule: ribosomal RNA, 301 nt
Filed under: uncultured bacterium
Lineage: Bacteria
Description: partial 16S ribosomal RNA
Rfam family: Bacterial small subunit ribosomal RNA
Source: RNAcentral